Molecule: non-coding RNA, 399 nt
Organism: Erinaceus europaeus (western European hedgehog)
Lineage: Eukaryota; Metazoa; Chordata; Mammalia; Eulipotyphla; Erinaceidae
Source: the annotation of a RefSeq genome assembly
CAGUCCCAGUCAGGACAUCACAUGACCAUGAGGGCCCCAGCUCAGCUCCUCAGCCUCCUGCUGCUCUGGCUCCCAGAUGCCAAAUGUAGCAUCCAGAUGACCCAGUCUCCAUCCUCCCUGCCAGUAUCUCAAGGAGAAACAGUCAAAAUCAGCUGCCAGGCCAUUCAGAGCAUUUAUAACAACUUACACUGGUACCAGCAGAAAGUAGGGAAAGCUCCAAAGCUCAUGAUCUUUAGAGCAUCCAAUCUGCAGUCUGGGGUUCCAUCCCGCUUCAGUGGAAGUGGAUCUGGGACAGAUUAUACUCUCACCAUCAACAACCUGGAGCUUGAUGAUAUUGCAACUUACUACUGUCAGCAGGCUUACAACAUGCCUCGCACUGUGCUACAAGGCAGAACGUAA